UCCGCGGGUAGAAAUUUACAGAUUGUGGGGCCGACAGCUAUUUGCUGGGCAAUUUGGGAACUUAAAAAUAGAGCUUGUUUUGACCAUAAACUUGUGAGACCUCCUGCUGAAUUACUUUGUUAUGCUUGCUCCUUUAUGUGGUAUUGGGGAGGUCUUCAGAAUAAGGAGGAAUGUGGAAUGCUGGAGCAAGGUGCAACUUAG
RNAcentral lists this ribosomal RNA (201 nucleotides) under Triticum aestivum (bread wheat). Its description in RNAcentral is "partial small subunit ribosomal RNA". Lineage: Eukaryota; Viridiplantae; Streptophyta; Magnoliopsida; Poales; Poaceae. The record is from RNAcentral.